Molecule: ribosomal RNA, 229 nt
Filed under: uncultured bacterium
Lineage: Bacteria
Description: partial 16S ribosomal RNA
Rfam family: Bacterial small subunit ribosomal RNA
Source: RNAcentral
GAUCAUGGCUCAGGAUGAACGCUAGCGACAGGCUUAACGCAUGCAAGUCGAGGGGCAGCAUGAGGUAGCAAUACCUUGAUGGCGACCGGCGCACGGGUGAGUAACGCGUAUGCAACCUGCCCGAUACCGGGGUAUAGCCCAUGGAAACGUGGAUUAACACCCCAUAGUACUUUUAUCCUGCAUGGGAUGUGAGUUAAAUGCUCAAGGUAUCGGAUGGGCAUGCGUCCUA